AACAUAAGAAAUCAAAAUAUUACAUUAAACAUUUAUAGGUAAAUAUACAAUAUAAGGAAAAAUAAAUGAAAAGUAAAUAUACAUUAUAAGAAAUAGAAAUAUUACAUUAAACAUCUAUAAUAAUUUAUCAUCUAAUAUAAAAGCAAGAAAAUUAGAAUAAGUAAAUAUAUAUUAAAAAAAUAAAAAAAUUAUAUUAAACAUCUAUCUGAAAAAUGUAUCUAUCUAUACUAAUAAAAUAGAGCUUUUGAGGCUCAACCGAAAAAAAAAUAUUUUGUGAAAGAUGACACGUGUCAUUAGUAAAAAAUAAAAAAUAAAUAUACAUAUAAAGAAAAAUAAAUAAUAAGUAAAUAUACAAUAUAAAAAAUAAAAUUAUUACAUUAAACAAUAAUAAGUGAGGCUCCAUAGGGCGUCGACAUCAGCGGUAAAAAUGUUUUCUAAAUAAUAACACGUGGCAUUAACAAAAAAAUAAAAAAUAAAUAUACAUAUAAAGAAAAAUAAAUAAUAAGUAAAUAUGCAAUAUAAGAAAUAGAAAUAUUAUAUUAAAAAAUAAUAAGUAAAUAUACAAUAUAAGAAAAAAAAGUGAAAAGUAAAUAUACAUUAUAAGAAAUAGAAAUAUUGCAUUAAACAUCUAUCAUAAUUUAUCUUCUGAUAUAAAGCAAGAAAAUUAGAAUAAGUAAAUAUAUAAUUAAAAUAUUAGAUUACACAUUUAUUAUAAUAUUAAAAUAACUAAAUAUAAAAUAUACGAAUCUAUACUAACAAAAAUGAGCUUUUGAGGCUCCAUAGAGAGUCCACAUUAGCAAAAAAAAACUUUUUCUAAAAGAUGACACUUGACAUUAAUAAAAAUAUAUAUACGUAUAAAGAAAAAGAAAUAAUUAGUAAAUAUACAAUAUAAGGAAAAAUAAAUUAAAAAAUACAAUAUAAGAAAUAGAAAUAUUACAUUAAAUAUCUAUCAUCAUUUAUCAUUUGAUAUAAAAGCAAUAAAAUUAGAAUAAGUAAAUAUAGAAUUAAGAAAUGAAAAAAAAAACUAAAUUAAACAUCUAUCUGAAAAAUGUAUAGUUAAAUAAAUAAUAACUAAAUACACAAUAUAAAAAAUAGAAAUAUUAUAUUAUACAAUUAUCGUAAUAUAAGAAAAAAUAAAUAUAAAAUAUAACAAAAAAAUAAAUAUUAAGUAGGGAAAUUGCCACAAAUAGCACAUUCAUAGUACCAUUUUUCAUGUUUACACUAACCACUUUUACCAUCACUUUUAAUGAAGGGUAAAAGACAAUUAUACCUUUCGGGUUAAUUAAUCUAGAUUUAGGGUUUAGAGUUGAGGGGUGGGGUAAGGUUUUUGGAAUGUGAAAUUUAGGAUUUUAAUAAAUAUAUAAAUAAAUACUUAAAAAAAUAUAAAAAAUAGUUUCAAACAUAAUUUUCGUUUUUCAAAAAGAAAUGUGAAGAAAAAAUAAAAAAAAAAUUCGAAAAAAAGUUUCAAAAAAAAAAAUUAUAAAAAAGUUCGAAUUUGAAAAAUUAUAAUUCAAAAACAAAAAAAAUUACUUUUUUUAAUUUAUUUUUUUAUUUAAAUAAUGAUUUAUUAUAUAUAUGAAUAACAAGGACAUAAGAGUCUUUUGCCACUUAAUGAAGAAAAUAUUUUUCAAAAUGUCUUUUUAGUGGUGGUAAAAAUGAAAAGUGGAAAACAUGUAAUUUUCCCUAUUAAGUAAAUAUAGUAUAUUAGAAAUAAAAAUAAUACAUUAAAUAUAUAUCGUAAUAUUAUCAUUGAUAUAAAAGCAAUAAAAUUUAGAAUAAAUUAAUAUAUAAAAUAAGAACGAUAAACAAUAAGCAAAUAUACAAUUUAAAAAUGGAAAAACUAAAUUAAACAUAUAUCUGAAAAAAUGUAUAGUUAAAUAAAUAAUAAGUAAAUAUCCAACAUAAAAAUAUUACAUUACACAUAUAUUAUAAUAUUAGAAUAAGUAAAUAUAAAAUAUAAAAAAAUGAAUAAUAAGUAAAUAUAUAAUAUAAGAAAUACAAAAAAUACAUUAGACAUCUAUCUAAAAAAUCUAUAAUAAAAUAAAUAAUAAGUAAAUAAAAAAUAUAAGAAAUAAAAAUAGUACAUUAAACAUAUAUCGUAAUAUUACAAUUUGAUAUAAAAUAAAAAUAGUUAGAUAAGUAAAUAUACAAUUAAAAAAGUAAAUACACAAGAUAAGAGACGAAACAACUACAUUAAACAUCUAUUUGAAAAAUGUAGAUUUUUACAUUUUUAUGACUUCCAAAUAUUUUUAUAAGUAAAUAUACAAUAUAAUAAAAAUAAGCAUACAAUAUAAGAAAUAUAAAUUUUACAUGAAGCAUCUAUUAUAAUAAUAUUGUUUGAUAUAAAAGCAAGAAAAUUAGAAUAAGUAAAUAUACAAUAUAAGAAAAAUAAAAAAAUAGGUAAAAUACAAUUAAUAAAUGAAAAAUCUAAAUUAAACAUCUCUCUAAAAAAUGUAUAGUAAAAUAAAUAAUAAAUUAGUAUACAAUAUAUUAAAUAGAAAUAUUAUAUUAAGCUUCUAUCGUAUUAUUAUAAUAAGUAAAUAUACUAUAUAAGGAAAAUAAAAACAAAUCUGAGAAACAUACAAUAAAAUAAAUUAUAAGUAAAUUUAUAAUAUAAGAAAUAUAAAUUUUACAUUAACAUUUAUAAAUAAUAUUAUCAUUUGAUACAAAAGUAAAAAAAAUAGAAUAAGUAAAUAUACAAUAUAAGAAAAAUAAACAAUAGGUAAAAUACAAUUAAGAAGUGCAAAAACUACAUUAAACAUCUAUCUCAAAAAGGUAUUGUUUUACAUUUUCAUUAUUUAAAAAUACAAUAAGUGAAUAUUAAUGCUAAAUAUUAUAAUAAGUAAUAUAAAAUAUAAGAAAGAAUAAAUAAUAAGUAAAUAUAAUAUAUAAGAAAUAAAAAAUAUUACAUUAAAUUCAUAUCGUAAUAUUAUCAUUGAUAUAAAAGCAAGAAAUUUAGAAUAAGUAAAUAAAAAAAUAAAAAAAAAGAUAAACAGUAAGUAAAUAUACAAUAUAAAACAAUGGAAAAACUAAAUUAAAUAUUUAUCUGAAAAAUAUAUAGUUAAAUGCAAAAAUGUAUAUUUUAAAUAAAUAAUAAGCAAAUAUACAGUAUAAGAAAUAUAAAUAUUACAUUAAACAUCUAUCGUAAUAUUAUCAUUUGAUUUAAAAACAAGAAAAUUAGAAUAAAUAAAUAUACAAUAUUGAAAAAUUCCCUUGGAUAGCCAUUUUUAAGUUUUUGCUACAAAAUAGCUAUAAAUGAGAAAAAUAAUCAAAAUAAGUCUUAUUAAAGAGUAAAAAUACAUUUAUACCCUAUGGUUAACUAACAUAGACUUAUGGUUUAGAGUUAAGGGGUGAGAUUUUGAGGAUAGGAUUUCAAAUUUUUAAAAAUAAAAAUUAAAAAACUAAAUUUCUUAAAAUAAAAGAGACUAUUUUGGUCACUUUUUUUAUUGAAUACUAUUUUGUGACAAAAAACUUAAAAGAUCUAUUUGAGAGAAUUGUCUUAUAAUAUAAGAAAAAAAUAAAUAAUAAGUAAAUAUACAAUACAAGAAAGGAAAAACUAUAUCAAACAUCUAUCUAAAAAAUGUAUAGUUUUCUGAUUUUUUCUAAAGAAAUAUGUAUUGACACAUACAUACAAUUCAGAAUUUGUUGUUGUUAAGAAUACAACGUUCAAAAAAUAACUAUAUGGUUAACAUUUGAAAAUAAAAAUAGCCCCGCACGUAGCGCGGAUUAACUCCUAGUCUUUAUAUAUAAAAGAUGUUUUGCUCUCUCCUGAGGCUGCCACCUAGGAUUCCACUUAGGAAAGUCGCUUCACGAGGAGUCAACACGUGUCCCGCCUGCUCAAAACACAGCGUUUCAUUAAAGGAAUCAGCGAUCCAUAUGGGCUAAGUUUGUGUGUGGGCUUUUUUUUUAAUUUGGCACAAGAAAAGCAGCCCGAUAGCAGUCAACCCUAAUAGCACAAUGUUCAUCAAAAACAUCCUUGUUUAAAACAGAUGGGGGUAUAACUUUAUUACAUUAUAUUAAGAAAACAAAGAAACUUGUCCUAUGAUAGCAUCAAAACUUGGAAAUGUGUAAUACAAAUAUGACAAUGGCCAGCCGAACAAAUUAGUUAGCAAGUCCUCUUCGUAGGGCACAAAAGCAUGUUUUUGAGAGUUCAGAGACUAAUCGAAACUGACACGACGCAUCUUACAAACAAGACUAGCCGUAGGGUAAUCAAGUUCACUACCAGCAUCUGAUUUCAUCACAUCUUUGAGCUCAUCUCUUGGUGUAGCCAAACACGUCUGGAAAGUUGCAAGCAUAGGCGGAAUCGGCAUGGACAAGGCUGCAAGCACAUUGCUCAAGUACUCUAUAUCUACACACAGUUGCUGUGCUCCUCGGUCUGAAAUGUAUUAGAUUCCUCUCAGUUGCUCCAUGUACAGAGCUGUUGCGCCUUCUGCUACCUUGAACAUCCACUCGGUUGCAAAGAACUGUGCGUCCUCGUUGUUUGAAUCACCAUUGGUGAGAUUCCUUCAGCUAGAAGCUCAAGUGCUGAGGUAAAGUCAGGAGAUAUUAUCCAACGCUUGUAACGUAAGCCUGAGGGUAUGAGCUGAAGUUUGGUAGAGCAAACGCAGUUUGUUCCUCCACAGGAAGACCAGAUGGUAGGCGAGAUACUUCCCCGAGUCUUUGCCUGACAUUUGAUAUGAGGAUUUCAUAUACAAGUUUGUUCACUGUGUCCGCAAACGCAGCUACUCUCUGAGAUGCCAAAGGCAGUGCGUGGAACCUUGGAUCUUUUGACUGCAAAAAAAAAAAAAACAGCAAAAGGAAAUGAUACAUAUGAACAGUGUAUAUUAAUUUAUGAAUCUUUGUCAAUAAGACUACCUGUUCCAAACAGGUUUAGGAGUUUGCGAAGCCUUCUCCGGGAACAUCAACCAACCGAAUAGCUGCCACAUCCAGGAAGCUCGUCCAGCCGUAGACAAAUCUCCAGCUGUUUUGUUCACUUGUCAAAUGUGACAGGUUCUGAUCCAGAUUUGUGCCAAAUAGUGAAAUAGACAAGCUGGAGUUUAGUCUAGCCAGAGUGGCUCUCAAAGAAGCUUCAAACACAGAAGACCUGCUCAAGUCAGCUUCUCACCGUCUUUAUAGGAGCUUUCGUCUAAUAUUUAAGCCUUCUGGUGUUGUCAAUCGAGAAAUGGUAACAUAAAACUGUCCAUGGGUAAAUACAGGCUGGGGAAGAUAUAAAGCUGACUUGCUUUAGGCUUUGGCCUUGACUUUUAUUAUGUCAUGGCAUAGCUAAGUCGGAUUGGUAUUGCCGUCUACGAAGUAAAAGGAAGUAUGCUGUCAGUUGGGCUUAGCUGUAUCCUAGGGAGUAAUAUUCGUUCACCAACUUCUGGUCCGGUCAUUUUUUUAUAAAAAAAAACAAAAAAAAAUCUGGUCCGGUCAAUAAUCUCCACUUCGACAAUCACCAAGCCAUGAUCCUGAUUAACGUUGCGCAGUGAAUUCAAAGGAGUAGCAUGAAUGUAGUUUACUCAAAACCGUGCCCAAACUGAUCCGAUCUAAUGUAUUUUAUAAAUUCCUUACUAACAUUUUUCUUGUAUUCCUCCUGUGUAUUAAAAUAAUUUAAAAAUAAAAUCUAAAAAAUUAAAACCCGGGUGGGAAUUAUUCAUACGUUAGUCUCCCAAUUAAUCUUGAAAUUUGAAUAGUUACAAAACAACUAAAAUUUAAUAAAUCAACAAUUCCAAUUUAGUUAUAUAAUUAUAACUUUAUUUUUCUUAAUCUUAGGAAAGAUUGUGAAUGAAUUUACUUAUUCCGUAGUCAUUUGUAUCUAAACCGAAAUAUAUAGUAAAAACUCUCAGUUGCUCCAUGUACAGAGCCGUUGCGCCUUCUGCUACCUUGAACAUCCACUCGGUUGCAAAGAACUGUGCGUCCUCGUUGUUUGAAUCACCAUUGGUUGAGAUUCCUUCAGCUAGAGGCUCAAGCUGCUGAGGUAAAGUCAGGAGAUAUUAUCCAACGCUUGUAACGUAAGCCUGAGGGUAUGAGCUGAAGUUUGGUAGAGCAAACGCAGUUUGUUCCUCCACAGAAGACCAGAUUGGUAGGCAAGAUACUUCCCCGAGUCUUUGCCUGACUUUUGAUAUGAGGAUGUCAUAUACAAGUUUGUUCACUGUGUCCUCAAACGCAGCUACUCUCUGAGAUGCCAAAGGCAGUGCGUGGAACUUUGGAUCUUUUGACUAAAAAAAAAAAAACAGCAAAGGAAAUGAUACAUAUGAACAGUGUAUAUUAAUUUAUGAAUCUUUGUCAAUUAAGACUACCUGUUCCAACAGGUUUAGGAGUUUGCGAGCCUUCUCCGGAACAUCAACCACCGAAUAGCUGCCACAUCCAGGGAAGCUCAUCCAGCCAUAGACAAAUCUCCAGCUGUUUGUUCACUUGUCAAAUGUGACAGGUUCUGAUCCAGGUUUGCAAAUAGUGCAAAUAGUGAAAUAGACAGCUGGAGUUGGAGUUUAGUCCAGAGUGGCUCUCAAAGAAGCUUCAAACACAGAAGACCUGCUCAAGUCAGCUUCUCACCGUCUUUAUAGGAGCUUUCGUCUAAUAUUUUAAGCCUUCUGGUGUUGUCAAUCGAGACAUGGUAACAUAAAACUGUCCAUGGGUAAAUACAGGCCGGGGAAGAUAUAAAGCUGACUUGCUUUAGGCUUUGGCCUUGACUUUUAUUUAUUGUCAUGGCAUAGCUAAGUCGGAUUGGGUAUUGCCGUCUACGAAGUUAAAAGGAUGUAUGCUGUCAGUGGGCUUAGCUGUAUCCUAGGGAGUAAUAUUCGUUCACCAACUUCUGGUCCGGUCAUUUUUAUCAAAAAAAACAAAAAAAAAAACUUCUGGUCCGGUCAUAAUCUCCACUUCGACAAUCACCAAGCCAUGAUCCUGAUUAACGUUGCGCAGUGAAUUCAAAGGAGUAGCAUGAAUGUAGUUUACUCAAACCGUGCCCAAACUGAUCCGAUUCGAUUGUAUUUUAUAAAUUCCUUACUAACAUUUUCUUGUAUUCCUCCUGUGUAUUAAAAUAAUUUAAAAUAAAAUCUAAAAAUUAAACCCGGGUGGAAUUUUUCAUACGUUAGUCUCCCAAUUAAUCUUGAAAUUUGAAUAGUUACAAAACAACUAAAAUUUUAAUAAAUCAACAAUUCCAAUUUAGUUAUAUAAUUAUAACUUUAUUUUUCUUAAUCUUAGGAAGAUUGUGAAUGAAUUUACUUGUUCCGUAGUCAUUUGUAUCUAAACCGAAACAUAUAGUAAAAAAAAACUAAAUAUUAGGAAUUAGUAAAUCAGAGUAUUUCGGUUGGAAUGUCACGUAAGAUGAUAACUCGAAUAAUACUGAAAGUCUGUAUAGUAACUAAUUAUUUAAAUAUUCUAUUAUAUCAUUACUCAAAAGUUAGUUAUAGGAUGACAAAAAGUUUCCUUUUAGUAUUGUUAUGAUUUCAACGUCAAAAGCCAAAAACGCAAAGGAGAAGCAUGAAUGGAGUUUACUCAACCCUGCAAAUCUGAUCCGAUCACAAUUCUAAUGGAUUUUCCACUUUUAUUUCAGUUAAAAGAAUUGAAAAAACUAUAUAAGAGGGAAUAAAUUGAAAUAGUUUUUUAUUAUUGACUGAAACAAAGAUAAUCAAAGGUGCGAAAGUACUGCAGAUAAAUAAGAAGUAUUUAAACUUGGAACAUGAAACCAUAACUGCUGGUAUCCACUUUCUUGGCCAUCUUGGUAGAUGAGUGGGUCCUCUUCUUCGCCGAAGCAUCGCCUGGUUUCGCAUCAGUAUUCUUAUCUGCAUCACUACUGCCUUCUCCAGUUUCAACACGAACAGGAACCAGACCACCAUCUGCCAUGUCAGCAUCAUCACCAUCGUUUCUCCCCUGAUACAUUCGGAAAGUGUUACAUACUAACAGACAUACAUAGAUAAUCAAAGGUUCGCAAAAUCACUCUUACCUUAACGACAAAGUCAGGAACUGGAACACGCUCAUGCUCCUUAAGGAUGCGGGUGAUGGUGAGGUCUAAUGGUGUGCAGUGAAGUUAAACGUGCUAACUCUGACCUGGAAGGUGAAUGUUUUUCCUUCCAUGUCUGUGAUAAACAGCGGCACCUAAGAGUCCUCAGGACUUACUCCUUCCUCAGCCUGUUCGUCAGAAUUAAAGCACCAUGUAUGUUAGCAUUUAUAUUUAAUAAUCCUUUAAGAAGACUAAUGCACAUCUUACCAACACUGACCGGCUUCACUUGCUCGGAGGUUAUGCAGCUUAGUCAUCACACCAUCAAAACACACGAAUGCACCUUCAACUGUGCUGUCAGCGAUUGCCAACUCCACAUGAUAACUGAUGGAGUUUACGGAAAAAAAUGAAGACGUCCAUGCCUCUCCAAGGAUAGAAAUUAACGCCCUACAAACUUUCAGUUCUGAAUUAUUGCCUAUACACUAUCUAGCCCUUGACUAAUUUGCCAAUAAUGAAUUCAAGAAUUUUAAUCAUAUUUUUCUUCCUCCCAACAAGCUAGGCAUUUCGAAUCGUGACUGUGACCAGUUUUCAAGUGCAUCACAUCCGUCUUCUCGAAGUGGACUUUUAUUUAGACGUCCGUGUGCUAUCACAUACGUGUUCCUGGAGCUUUGUUUUCAGAGUUUAACAUGUGUGUUAUAGGUUCUACGGCGUUACUUUUCUGAUUUUAUGAUAAAGAGGUUUAAGACAAAGAAUUUUUACAUAAACUUUGGUUAUGAUCUGGUAUCUGUAUCUAUUUAUUUCAAGUGUUUCCCUACAUGGAAUCACUUCCAAAACAAACAAACAAAAAUUAACUAUAUGAUUUCCCUACUUAUUUCUACCCAGAAACAAACUAAUAUCUUAAAACAUGAACGGUUGUUAUUGCAAAAAAAUCAAACAGAUUUAUUAGUUUGAUGGGAUUUAUUGUUUCAAACUCUAGCAUUUAUAAUAUAGAAUAAAUACUUUAAAAAAUAUAGUAGAUCAAGAUGAGAUGGUCAACAUUUUAAGGAAAACAAGUGAAGAAAGAUGACUGAAAAGAAUAAGAGAAAUUCUUGGGUUCACCCUCUAGGUGAAUCUAUAGGUUCACCAACCAAUGAAAAUUGGUUAUUUUAUAUACAAAUUUUUUCAAAAAAGGAAACAAAAUUUUUAAAAUUUAUUUUUUUAAAUAAAAGGAUAUAAAAUACAUAAAAAACGAAUAAUAACAAUAAAAGAUGAUUUUUUCAUAUUGUUAAAGCUGUCAUAUUAAACACUAAAUCCUAAACCCUAAACAUGAAACCCUAAACCCUUGGAUAAAUCCUAAACCCUUGGGUAAAGAGAUAUUCCAACGGUUAUGAGUUUAUCCAUGGGUUUAGGAUUUACCCAAGGGUUUAGUUUAGUUUAGGGUUUAGGGUUUAGGGUUUAGGGUUUAGGGUUAGUAUGAACGGCUUUAACAACAUUAAAAAAUUCUUUUCUUACAGCAGCUACUAUUUUUUAUUUAUUUUUUAUAUUUUACCUAAGAGUUUAGGAUUUAUCAAAGGGUUAGGGUUUAAGGUUUAGUGUUUAGGAUUUAUCAAAAUUUGUUUAUUACAAUUAAUAUUUUACCAUUAGAUAUAUUAAAAUAAUAUUCUAGAUCGAUAUUCAAUUUUCAGUUUUUAACUAUUACACGUAAAAAAUAUUAUUAAGUAUCUUUUUUUGAAAAGGGGGUUUUAUAUUUUAAGUAGGUUAUUGAAGUACUUUUUCUUUUUGUGAAUUUAUUUGAAAUGAGAUUUCGAUCUUUUAAACUACGAUAAUUUAUGUUCUAUACAUAAUUAUAUAUUAUUUACGUAACUCUAAAAUCUCGGACUUGAUUCUUCAUAUUUUAUUAGUUAAUUGUGUUACAUAUACUAGAAAUACUUACUUCAAACUUAAAAUAUAAAAAAAAUCAAAUUUAAAAUUAAUUAGUUAUAUAAUUUAAUAUACAAGAAUUUACAUACAAAUAAAAAUGAUAAAUGUAAUAAAUUUAAAUAUAUUAUCCGCGCGUAGCGCGGAGAAGGAUCUAGUUUAAAUGAUGACUAAAUAACAAAAAAGUUAAUAACAAAUCUAUGUUUUUAGUUUUAUUUUUUCCUUUAAGUCUUGUUUAUUGAAGUUUGAUUAGUUAUCGUUAUCUUUUAUUCAUUCCAUAUUAAAUAAUGAAAUAUUUAAGAUCUAGUUUUUUUUGUUUUAAAAUAAUUCUACAAGUUUUAUACACUUGGAUAUCAAGUUAACAACAAUGAAAAAUUAGUCCCAAAGAGUUAAAAAAGUUAUGGGCCCAUACAUAUGAAUAGUAGGAAUGGGUCCAAGACCGGCACUGAUUGACCCAACUGCCUCCUUGGAUCUUGGACCUGCUCAUUAAACCUCUGAGUGUUAUUUCUUGUGAGAGAAUUUCUGCCAUAAAUAGAGAUAGUCAUAUCAUUAUUAGAUCAUACUAUGAAGGCAUAUGUGAAAUUAAGAGCGGGUGGUUUUCAGAUAACUAUGGUUAAUGUAAGUUUCUUAAGAAUCAAAGCAACUAAAGAGAAGUGAAUCGGAUAAAUGUAAAAUAGGUUUGCGAGUUUGUAAUAGUUUCCUAAUUUCUAUUUCUUUACCACACAAACGAUGCAUUGAUUGUAAAAAUAGGCUUUUGUGAUUAAUAAAUUUAACAUUUAUUCCAAAAAAAAGUGAAACGGAUAAAGACAAACCUUUUCUUGCACAUACUCUUUGUCGUGGUGGUAUAUGAUGUUGCUCUUUAUCUGACUGAAUCAAGGAAGGAACGACUAGCUUCAAUUUCAGUCUCAAGUUGCUCGUUUGGAAACAACAAGCUAUACUUAGAUAAAUCGUCAUAUUUAACUGGAUUAUCAUUGGCAUGCACGUCAAACUAUAGGUACAUUAAUUUUCAUAAAGUUGAUAUGGAGAAGUUUUUUUCAUCGUUUAUUUUAUGAUGCUUAAACUUUAAAUUCACAUGUACAUUUAUUUAUUCUCAUUCUUGAUUUCCCUCGAACGCUGGAUCUUUUUAGCUUGCUACGGAUUUUCUUGUCUCUGACUAAACGGGUGUUAUGAAAAUAGUAAACCUAUUCUAAAAUACGAUAAUAAAUAACCAUUAGACUUAAUAAUUAGAACAACAAAUAUAUUUAAUAUACUACCACAACAAAAUAUAUAGUCUAGUCAACAUUUUUAUUCCUAGACUACUAAUUGAGAUAUAUUCAAAAUUAAUGGUAAUUGAACAAUUUCCAAAAUAUUACAGUCAAAUUAUUUUUUACCAUACUACUAUAUGAAAUAUGUUGAAAAUUAAUGGUAAUUGAAUACAUUCCUAACGUUGUCCAUUUGUGUUCUUGACUCUUCCUCUCAACUAUCUGUAUAUAUAAGAUUACAAGUGCAUGACUAUAUUUCAACAUCACAAAACAAAUAAAAGAUAAAACUAAAAGCGACAGCCAUGGGAACACCAAAACUGAAGUUGGCUGUCGAGGAGUUGGAGAUGGAUCAUCUCAUGCUCCAGAUCCAAAAUGGUAGAAUGCUUGAUGACCUUCUCAAACCGAGACUGAGAAGUUAAAGUCAUAUGCAAGUAAGAAGUUCCAAACUCUUAUGGGUGAGAUCCCAAAGGCACCAUUCCCAAUGAUACAGGGGGGAAGUGUCUAUUUGAUGGAUAAGUGGAUCAAGGAUCCAUCUGAUAAGGAGGAUGAGAUGAAGAGACCUGUGAAGGAGAGAGCAGCAAGUCUGGUGGUGCGGACGAUGCCUAAUGAAGCAGCUAGCCGUCGAAUAAUAAAAUUAAUGUGUCUUGGAAUAAAGUUGUUAUUGUUGUGUCUUUGCAUUCUCGUUUCAUAUUUCUAGUUUUUGUUGCUUUGGUCAUGUUCCUGUUUGUUUCUUGUGUGUCUUAAACAUGUGUCUUUGUUUGCAUAUGUUAAUCUAAAUAAUGCAAUGUUUUCCCUUGCAAUCAUUAAGAGCUCAUCCCGUAUUUAACACUGUUUUUCUAGAGCUCAACAUAAAGCAAAUUGUUUGAGAACAAUAAGCAAUAUAUAUACACAUUAAUUUCAUGAAUAGUUUGUAUGGAAAAGUUUUUCUCAUCGUUUCUUGUAUGAUGCUUAAACCUUAAAUUCACACGUAAUAUUUAUUAUGUCUUUCUUGAUUUUCCCUCGAACGCUGGAUCUUUGGCUGCUUACUACGUAGCAUUUUUUUUUCUUUUUAGCAUUUACAUUAAGACUACAAUUACUCAGUAUCUACAAUUUCAAGAGAUUUGUUUUAGAGUGUGUGUGUCCUAUUUUUUGCAGACGCUGGUCUUCCUAGGGAUGGCAAUUGGUACCACCCGCCCCGCUGCGGUCUCUAUCUCAUGUGGAUCUUUGCGGGUCAGCCCGCCAUGACCCGCGGUACCCAAACCCGCGGGUAGUAAAAAAGAUGAUGUUUCGUUGUGGUGAGAAGAUUAUGUUUCCACAUGUUUUCUUGAACGAGGACGGCUCUCAACUCAAUACUGUAACUUAAUAACAGCAUGUGCACUACUAGGACUAACAGAAACGAAGCAAGCAAACAAACUUCUUCCAUAUAAAGUAGGGACUUAACAGAAACGCAUCAUUGCCCACAGAGAAAGGAAGGUAAAUUCUAUCUCCUACAUUCAAGGACUCCUUGGCUGCCACCUUCAAACAGACAACAUCAGCUUCUUAAAAAACCAGUUCUUGUCCUAACCAAGAAUUAACAGAAGAGCUAUUUACCCUUUUAAGUUGGCUUCUUUGUAGUUCAUCACCGUCAUAAGUCACAUGCCUUCUCUUUUUUAACCUGAAAAACAUUUACAAAUCUCUUAAUCAUGUAACUUAAUGGUUCGAUUCGAAUCAUCAAAAUAAAAUAUUUUAGCUGAAGAGAUCACGGACCUGUCUUAAACGAAAGAGUUUCUGUACGAGGUUUCUAGGUAAGUCCAGACGAAGAAAAUCCACCUCAGCUCCGGUGGUGGGAUCUCCAAGAAGAGAAGCUAUGGGGGUGGAAAGAAAAAGGGAGAGAAGCUUCACUGGUGGUUCGUAAAUUCUAUCUCCUACAUUCAAGGACUCCUUGGCUGCCACCUUCUUAAAAAACAGUUCUUGUCCUAACCAAGAAUUAACAGAAGAGCUAUUUACCCUUUUAAGUUGGCUUCUUUGUAGUUCAUCACCGUCACAAGUCACAUGCCCUUCUCUUUUUUUAACCUGAAACACAUUUACAAAUCUCUUAAUCAUGUAACUCAAUGGUUCGAUCGAAUCAUCAAAAUAAAAUAUUUUAGCUGAAGAGAUCACGGACCUGUCUUAAACGAAAGAGUUUCUGUACGAGGGUUUCUAGGUAAGUCCAGACGAAGAAUCCACCUCAGCUCCGGUGGUGGGAUCUCCAAGAAGAGAAGCUAUGGGGGUGGAAAGAAAACGGAGAGAAGCUUCACUGGUGGUUCGACGAAGAAGAGAAGCUCCGGUGGUGGCCUUAAUCAAAGAAAAGAAGAACCGGUUGGUGGUGAUGCUCCUCUGGUGCUCGACGGUGACUCGGUGGAGUCGUGGAGAACAUGAAUCGCCAUUUUUGUGAUCUCUCUUUUUUUUUUUCAGGUGGAAACAAAACAAAACAGGAAGUGGUGCGGGUUCUUUCUGCCCCGCAAGACCCGCGAUAGUCCAAACCGCAAAGGCCCAAACCCACAUGAGACUUAACCCGUGACACCCGCUCACAAAUGGGCCUCAAUAUCUCUACCCAAACCCGCCCCGCAUGGGUAUUCUACGGGCCCAGCCCGUGGGCUGCGGUUUCUUUGCCAUUCCUAGUCUUCCCAUAAGUGUCCAAGUUAUUCACUCCCACCCAUUAGUCCAACGCUUUCAGUGUAAUGAUAAAGGAAAGCCAAAGUGGAGAGGGAUAGAGAGAGUAGAAUUACACCCCAAAGAUUCCAAUAGCAUUAAUCUUCUUAAUCGCUUCCCUCAUCGCAAAACCUUCUGCCAUUAGUGGUGACAUAACAAAGUUAGUGGAGAUUGAAAAUCUCUGAGUCUCUCUUGAAGUUUUGAUAGUCCAUCCCAGUCUAGCAGCCCCUGAUGUUUCAGUCUUGAAGCACGAUUUAGAAUAUGUUUUUAAUAGGAAAGAAAUAAACCACAUGUGGAACAUGUGCUAGGGGAAAACAAUGUCCCUGUAAAAAUGGACUAGACACCACGUAGUGGCAGCUGAUCAAGCUCAGUUACUAGCUCCGUCAACUUAACCUGAUUUUCAUUCCUGCAUUGAACCAACUGCCUCCUUAGAUCUUGGACCUGGUAAUUAAGCCUUUGAAUCUUAUUUUCUUGUGAGAAAAUUCUCUGCCAUAAAUAGAGAUAGUCAUAUCAUUAUUAGAUCAUACUAUGAAGGCAUAUGUGAAACUAAGAGUGGGUGGUUUUCAGAUAACUAUGGUUAAUGUAAGUUUCCUCAGAAUCAAAGCAGCUAAAGAGAAGUGAAACGGAUAAAGACAAACCUUUUCUUGCACAGACUCUUUGCCAUGUAGUAUAUGAUGUUGCUCUUAAUCUGAUUGAAUCAAGGAACGACUAAAGUUUUCUUAUAUGGAGAAGUUUUCUUCAUCGUUUAUUGCCAUUCUUGAUUUCCCUCGAACGCUGGAUCUUUCGUUGCUUGCUACGGAUUUUCUUGUCUCUGACUAAACGUGCGUGUUAUGAAAAUAGUAACCUACUAGGCAGUAACUCGCGAUGUGAGCGGAGUAAAAUAGUUUAUUAGAUUAUUUAUAGUAUGUUGUACUAAAAGAUUUGUCAUAUAGCUUUUUGUGGAAUAAAUAUUCAUAUAUAUGUUCGAAUUCAGUUGAUCUAUCGGGAUUUCACACUUUUAGAGUUAGAUAUUUAAAUCUUAUUCAGAUAUUUACAAAUUUUGGUUUAGAUUUGGUUUCGAAUCUUUGCGGGUUCAGUUUGGAUUCGAGUUCGGAUAUCCAUUUUAAUCAGGUAUUUUUUAACAAAAAUAUAAAUAUACUUAAAUACUCAAAAUCCAAAAAUAAAAUAAUACAAAACAUAAAAAAAUUAAUAAUGUAAGACUAACUAUUUAAAUUUACAUAAAAAAUCAUUCAAUUUAAAUAUUUGGAUGGAGAACUAAUAAAUAUUAUCAGUAUUUUUAACAUUUACUGUUAUUUUUAGAUAUUUACUUGUGUCUAUGUUGAUAAUUUUGAGAUACUUUCAUAUUUUUGAAUAUCUACUGAAUAUAAAAUUUAAAAUAAUUAAUAUAUUUAAAUAUAUAAUUGAGAUUUAGAUAUUUUGGUAUCCAAAAUAUUUUAUUUUGGAUUAGAUUCGAUUCUGGUUAUCUAGAUAUUAAACUUUUAAUCCAUCUGAAUAUACUGAAUCAUUUUAGUUUGUGUUUAGUAUUACUUUCAAAUCUAGUUCGAUUCAGUUUCAGAUCCAGAUGAGUUAAUCAAAUAAAUAGUGUGUGAACACAUUAAAUUAUUUGCGGUAGAGUUAAAAAAUUAGUGUGUGAAUGCAUUAAUUGUUAAAUGAUUGUGAGGCCGACACGUCAGCAUACUCAAAUUGAAAUCAAUGUGAAGCUAUAACAUAGAAAAUAUAGUGUGAACACAUUAAUUACAAAUGUUUCUCUUUUAAUAUAUAGGAGAUACUAAAAUACGAUAAUAAAAAAAUAGACUUAAUAAUUAGAAAAACCAAUAUAUUUAAUAUACUACCACAACAAAAUAUUUAGGGUCAAACUGGUAACCACUAUAGGAACACUAGGAAUGAGUAGGAGAAAAAUGUAGAGAAAUAAAAUUAUAGGAAGAAAAGAAAGAUUAUUCCUUACCGAUUUUAAUGAGAAACAAAUUUGUUCUAUAUUCCUCUAGAAUAAAAGGAAUGAGAAGAAUAAAAAAGAAAAAAUAUUUCUUAUAAAUGGUAAAAAUAAUUAGAAAUAGUAAUAAAUUCAUCAUUCCCUUUCAUUCAGUGGUCACCAGUUAGACCCUCAGUAUAGUCAAACUUUUUCUUCCUAGACUACUAAUUUGAGAUAUAUUCAAAAUUAAUGGUAAUUGAACAAUUACUAAAAUAGUACAGUCAAAUUAUUAUUUACCAUACUACUAUAUGAAAUAUGUUGAAAUUUAAUGGUAAUUAAAUACCUUCCCAAAGUAGUCCAUUUUGUGUUCUUGACUCUUCCUCUCGACUCUCUCUAUAUAUAUAAGAUUGCAAGUGCAUGACUAUAUUUCAACAUCACAAAUAAAAGAUAGAACUAAAAGCGACAGCCAUGGGAAGACCAAAAGUGAAGUUGGCUUGGGUCGAGGAACGAAAGAGAAGAGCUACUGUUUGCCAGCGGAGAAUGAAAGAAUUGAUUCAAAUGGCUGAAGAACUAACCAUCGUUUGUGAUAUGAGUGCAUGUUUGGUCUUUUACAACCGUAAAAAUGGUAAGCUGGUGGCGUGGCCAUCUCUGGAGGAGGCUCAAUCUCUCAUCGACUGCUAUAACGCAUUACCGGAAACCGAGAGGAACAUGAAGGCGGAUGAUGAAGAGUCAUCAUUCAUCAAGACCAUUACCAAGGAGAUCGAGAAGAAACUAGAGCUUUCUCGGAAGGCUAUCGAGGAGUUGAAGAUGGAUAAUCUCAUGCUCCAAAUCAAAAAUGGUAGUAGAAUGAUUGCUGAUCUUUCUCAAACCGAGAUUGAGAAGUUAAAGUCAUAUACAAGUAAGAAAAUUGUGUAUUAUGAUAGAAAGUUACGUAAGCAACAUCCGAAUACGAGUGGCAAUGAGCCAUUUCUUGAGGAUGACGAUGGGGAGAUGAAGAUCUAUGAAGGAGAGAGCAGCGAGUCUGAUGGUGCGGACAAUGCCUAAUGAAGCAGCUAGCCGUCGAAUAAUAAAAUUAAUGUGUCUUGGAAUAAAGUUGUUACUGUUGUGUCUUUGCAUUCUCGUUUCAUAUUUCUAGUUUUUGUUGCUUUGGUCAUGUUUCUUGUUUUUUUUUUUGUUUUUGUUUCUUGUUGUGUCUUAAACUUGUGUCUUUGUUUGCAUAUGUUAACCUAAAUUAAUGCAAUGUUUUCCCUUUCAAUCAUUGAAGAGCUCAUCUCGUAUGUAACACUAUAUGUUUUCUAGGGUUCAACAUAGCAAAUUCUUUAAGAAUAAGCUAUAUUUUGAUAAAGCAUCGUAUUUAACUGAGAUUAUCAUUGGCAUGCAUGUCAAACUAUAGGUACAUUAAUUUUCAUGAAUAAUUUGAUAUGGAAAAAGUUUCCCCAACGUUUCUUUUAUGAUGCUUAAACCUUAAUUUCACACGUAAGAUUCAUUGUUGUCUUUCUUGAUUUUCCCCGACCGCUGGAUCUUUGGUUGCUUGCUACGUAGUAAAACUUUUUUAGCAUAUACAUGAAGAAUACAAAUUACUCAGUAACUACAAUUUCAAGAGAUUUGUUUAAGUGUGUGUCAUGUCCAAGUUAUUGACUUCACUCAUUAGUCCAACGCUUUCAGUGUAAUGAUAAAUGAAACCAACGAGAAGAGAGAUAGAGAGAGAGUAUAAUUACACCCCAAGAUUCCAAUAGCAUUCUUAGCUACACAUACUUGAUGUAGUACACCUAUAAGGACCACUCUUCUUUAAGGUAAAAGGUCGAGACAGCAAGCAAGCACUCAAGAAAAAAGUAUGCAUGUGGCUCUGAUCAAUAGGUAUGAUAUUCAUAUGGAAAAUUCAUUUUGAUAACCCUGGACCAGAUAUUAAUUUAGAAACCAUGCUGCCAUAUUCUGUCAAUCAUAUCCAAUAAGAUCAAUAUCUCAUAGUGCAUCAAAUUAGUUGGCAAUUGAUUCUAGCCAUCAAAUAGGUAAUUCUUGAAGCAUGAUUUUUUUUUUGGAAAGUAACUUCAUUGAUUAAAAACAAAACUGAUUAAAUCCGUUGUUACAUGGCGUAAGGCCUCCUUAGCUAAGAAAUCAGCAUCAUAAUUCCUCUCUCGAGGAAUCCAACAGAAAGAAAUAGCAUCAAAAGAGCUAGCAUCUAUUCUAAUAUCUGAGAUUAUCCCACAAAUCUCCAAAGGCUCAGUAGAUAUUAAUUAAGUGCUUUGAUCAGCUGUGAGGAGUCUGAUUCGCAUCUUAGUCACCGGAUCCCCAGUUCCUUACUCUUCCUAAUCGCUUCCCUCAUCGCUAAACCUUCUGCCAUAAGUGGUGACAUAACAAAGUUAGUGGAGCUUGAAAAUCUCUGAGUUUCUCUUGAAGUUUUGUUAGUCCAUCCCAGUCCGGCAGCCCCUGAUGUCUCAGUCUUGAAGCAUUAUGAUUUAACAUAUGUUUUUAACUGGAAAGAAAUAAACCACAUGUGGAACAUGUGCUAGGGAAAAAUAAUAUGCCUGUAAAAAUGGACUAGAGACAACUUAGUGGCAGCUGAUCAAGCUCAGUUACUAGCUCCGUCAACUCAACCUGAUUUUCAUUCCUGCAUUGAACCAACUGCCUCUUUAGAUCUUUAACCUGCUCAUUAAACCUCUGAAUCUUAUUUUCUUGUGAGAGAAUUUUCUACCAUAAAUAGAGAUAGUCAUAUCAUUAUUAGAUCAUACUAUGAAGGCAUAUGUGAAAUUAAGAGCGGGUGGUUUUCAGAUAACUAUGCUUAAUGUAAGUUUCUUAAGAAUCAAAGCAAUAAAGAGAACUGAAUCGGAUAAAUUUAAAAUAGGUUUGUGAGUUUGUAAUAGUUUCCUAGUUUCUAUUUCUUUUCCACACAAACGAUGCAUUGAUUGUAAAAUAGGUUUUUGUGAUGAAUAAAUUUAACAUUCAUUCAAAAAAAAAAGUGAAGCGGAAAAAGACAAACCUUUUCUUGCACAGACUCUUCGCUGUAUGGUAUAUGAUGUUGCUCUGUAUCUGACUGAAUCAAGGAACGACUAGCUUCAAUUUCAGUCUCAAGUUGCUCGUUUGGAAACAACAAGCUAUACUUAGAUAAAUCGUCAUAUUUAACUGGAUUAUCAUUGGCAUACACGUCAAGCUAUAGGUACAUUAAUUUUCAUAAAGUUGAUGUGGAGAAGUUUUCUUUAUCGUUUAUUUUAUGAUGCUUAAACUUUAAAUUCACACGUACAUUUAUUUAUUGUCUUUCUUGAUUUCCCUCGAAUGUUGGGUCUUUCGUAGCUUGGUACGGAUUUUCUUGUCUCUGACUAAACAUGGGUGUUAUGAAAAUAGUAAACCUAUACUAAAAUACGAUAAUAAAUAAACAUUAGACUUAAUAAUUAGAACAACAAAUAUAUUUAAUAUACUACCACAACAAAAAAUGCAAGAGACGAUGUUAUGAUAUAUGUUUCAGUUUGAAAUGCAAGAAACAAAAAUGCAAGAGACAAAAAUGCAACAAAAUGGCAUCAUAAUGGUAAUUGAAUACAUUCCUAACGUUGUCCAUUUUGUGUUCUUGACUCUUCCUCUCAACUAUCUGUAUAUAUAAGAUUACAAGUGCAUGACUAUAUUUCAACAUCACAAACAAAAGAUAGAACUAAAAGCGACAGCCAUGGGAACACCAAAACUGAAACAUAUAUAUAACUAGAGUCGGCCCGCCCUUCGGGCAGGAUAUAUUUUACUUGUAAUCUAGAUUAUUAUUUUUUGUAUGAUUUUUUUGUGUCUAGGAUAGAAAUUAACGCCCUACAAACUUUCAGUUUUGAAUUAUUGCCUAUACACUAUCUAGCCCUUGAGUAAUUUGCCAAUAAUGAUUUCAAUAAUUUUAAUCAUAUUUUUCUUCCUCCCAACAAGCUAGGCAUUUCGAAUCGUGACUGUGACCAGUUUUACAAGUGCAUCACAUCCGUCUUCUCGAAGUCCAUGCCUCUCCACAUUUGCCUUGGAUAACUACCUCAAUUUUUCCGUUGUAGAAGACGCUCUGGUAUGGAUUCCUUCCACGGCGAAGAUGACAUAACCCACCAGAUCAAAUAUUCCAGGCUCGGCAACAGGGAGGAGUUUGAUCAAUUGCUCUGGUAUGGCUACGCUUUCCAUUUUCCAGUUUUUCUGUAUACCACUCUCUCCUGCCGUGAACCACAAAACAUAUCACUCAACCUGAACAACAUUAAAAAGCUGAACUUUAAAACACAUCGAAAGAUCACUCCUUCUCUACACAGCUAAAUUCAGAAACAUUGGAUAAAACAGUAAACUUUACAAUUUAAAACGAAGUUUGUCUCCUAAAGAAAGCUAUUAAGUAAACAGAAUAAGAUUCAACUUUCAUGGCAAAUCCUUUCCAUCCACUUCAUCUACCAAAAAAAGAGAAAAUAUCAGAAUCAAACUUCUUGGCAAAUCCUUACCAUGGUCUUUUUCUAGCCUAUAUAAACUAUAUAUAACCCAUCAUCUUCAAAUCACAAACCUACAAAAAUAGAAAUAAUAUUCAUCAAGAGUUUCAACUAAGAGCAAAAUUCAGAUCUAAUAAAACUCAAACAAAACCCAGAUUUGUCUAUUCGACGGUGGUAAUCCUCCAUACAGCCUCUCCUCUCUUCCUCCACACUCCUCUCUGCUCCUCUACACCGUAUCGAUCCUCUGGUUCGUCUUCACACUUCGAUUAUUCAAACUUCACUAAAAUCAAAGCCACACAGAAGAGAUGAUGAGAAAGUAAAUAAUUUGUAGAUCUAAAAAGGAGGAGGGGAUUCAUUACCAUUAAUUGAUAGAAACGGUAGUGGAGAUGGAGAGACAUGAGAAGAGAUCUCCUGAUGCUGGAGAGACAUGGAGCAGAGAUCUGAGGGAAUAGAAGAACAGACGUGGAGAGCGAGAGAGAGAGACGGGAAGAGUAGAGACGUAAUAGCCGGAGAGGAGCGGAGCUGUCACGAAGUAGGAGAGGAGGCAUCACGGUGCUUAAUAACUUCACGUAGGAGAGAGGCAGAGGAGGAGAGGAGGCGUCACAAAGUUAUGAUCUGUAACUUAAAUGAAAUGCUAGUUUUUGGGAUAGUUGGACACGUGUCGUGCUCACAAAGCUCGACUUAUCUAGGUGGAAUCCUAGGUGUCCUAAGGAGAAGAGAACAAACUGUUUCUUUAUAUAUAAAAGAGUGUUUUGCUCUCUCCUGAGGCUGCCACCUAGGAUUCCACUUAGGAAAGUCGCUUCACGAGGAGUCAACACGUGUCCCGCCUCCUCGAAACAUAGCGUUUCAUUAAAGGAAUCAGCGAUCCAUAUGGGCUAAGUUUGUGAAUGGGCUUUUCCGCGAAAACCUAAAAACUAUUUUUUUACGCCAAAACCUCAAAAAUGCAUUUUCCCGCCAAAAUUGCAAAAACGUGUUUUUCCGCAAAAACCGAAAACAUGUUUUCAUGCCAAAAUCACAAAAAAACUUGUUUUCACGCCAACACUCCAAAACACAUUUUUCGGCCAAAACACAAAAACAAGUUUUUCCACCAAAAUUGCAAAAACCGUGUUUUCCCGCCAAAAAAAAAAAAAAAGUGUUUUCCUGCUAAAACCGAAAAUCUCGUUUUCCCACCAAAGCUGAAAAAUCUCAUUUUCCCACCAAACCGGAAAAUCUUGUUUCCCGCAAAAACCGCAAAAUACACAAAAAGGCGUUUUCUUGCCAAAAACGUGUUUUCCCGCUAAAACCGCAAAAACAAGUUUUCCCCGCCAAAAACGCGUUUUUCCAGCCAAAACCGCAAAAACGCGUUUUACCGCCAAUAACGAAAUAUCUCAUUUUCUCGUCAAAACCGAAAAAUUUUAUUUUCCCGCGAAAAUCGCAGAAACGUGUUUCCCUCCAAAACCGCAAAAACGCGUUUUCCUGCCAAAAACGUGUUUUUCCGCCAAAACCGCAAAAACGUGUUUUCUCACCAAAAUUGAAAAUUUGUAUUUUCCCGCCAAAACCAAAAAAAAUCUCGUUUUCCCGCCAGAACCGAAAAAAUCUUGUUUUCUCGCCAAAAUCGAAAAAUGUGUUUUCUCGCUAAAACCAAAAAAUCUUUUUUUCCCGCCCAAACCGCAAAAAGAAAACUCAUUAAUUUUGAAAUAAUUCUAAUGUAAAUAUAUUAAACUAAAUAAUUAAAUGUAAUAUAGUUAAAAUUAAUAUAAAACAUAUGAUUAAGUCAACACAAGAGUAUUUUUAUAAUUUGUUUACUAAAAUCAUUUGAAUGGAAAUGAAAAUAAAAAAAACAAACAUAAGAUCCAUUUAGAUGAUUCAUCUAUAUGAGCUAUGUGGAUGGACAAACAAAUAAUCACAAAAAUCUGAAUGAAUCGUUUGAAUAGAUCAUACAAAUGAAUCAUUUGGAUGGAGAUGAUAAAUGGUGAAACAAACAGCCCCUAUGUUAUUACAAAAUGGGUGGAGAAUAUUAACAAUUCUAUGAAUAGUUCCAUUGUAUUUUGAGCAUCCUUAAUAUCAUUUGAUUUAACAUACAUAAAAUAAAAAGAUUUCACAAUACAAAAGACACUUUUUAAGAGAAAAAUUAUACUAAUAAAAGGAAGCUUUUGAGGCUCCAUAGGGGGUCCACAUCAGCGGUAAAAAAUUCUUCUAAAAAAUGACAUUUGGCAUUAACAAAAAAUAAAAAAUAAAUAUACAUAGAAAGAAAAAUAAAUAAUAAGUAAAUAUACAACAUAAGAAAUAGAAAUAUUACAUUAAACAUUUAUAGGUAAAUAUACAAUAUAAGGAAAAAUAAAUGAAAAGUAAAUAUACAUUAUAAGAAAUAAAAAUAUUACAUUAAACAUCUAUAAUAAUUUAUCAUCUAAUAUAAAAGCAAGAAAACUAGAAUAAGUAAAUAUAUAAUAAAAAAAUAAAAAAAUUAUAUUAAUCAUCUAUCUGAAAAAUAUAUCUAUACUAAUAAAAUGGAGCUUUUGAGGCUCAAUAGAGCGUCCACAUCAGCGAAAAAAAAAUAUUUUGUGAAAGAUGACACGUGUCAUUAGUAAAAAAUAAAAAAUAAAUAUACAUAUAAAGAAAAAUAAAUAAUAAGUAAAUAUACAAUAUAAAAAAUAAAAUUAUUACAUUAAACAAUAAUAAGUGAGGCUCCAUAGGGCGUCGACAUCAGCGGUAAAAAUGUUUUCU
This 22731-nucleotide long non-coding RNA is filed under the name Brassica rapa (field mustard). Its description in RNAcentral is "long non-coding RNA (BRAP_LNC008120)". The record is from RNAcentral. Lineage: Eukaryota; Viridiplantae; Streptophyta; Magnoliopsida; Brassicales; Brassicaceae.